UUGGCAUCCGUGAAAACUGCAGAGUGAAGAACAGUUACACCACAAAGAGCAUUAGUUUCUCACAUUGCUCUACUAGUAUGCUUCCACCUUGAAUUGGAGGAACCAUCUCUAGAGGUAAGAGGAAUAGUUCAAUCUCCAUGGUCCACUGAUUCUCAAAG
Molecule: small RNA, 158 nt
Filed under: Chelonoidis abingdonii (Abingdon island giant tortoise)
Lineage: Eukaryota; Metazoa; Chordata; Testudines; Testudinidae
Description: TUC338 (ENSCABG00000000161.1)
Source: RNAcentral